This is a non-coding RNA of Pseudopodoces humilis (Tibetan ground-tit), 6342 nucleotides long. NCBI's taxonomy places the organism in Eukaryota, Metazoa, Chordata, Aves, Passeriformes, Paridae. The record is from RefSeq and is a predicted model, not a curated record.
CGGCCCUGAGCUCUGCCCGCCUCGCCGCCCCCGGACCCCUCCUCAUAGUCUUGCCGCCACCGUCCUUCUAUUCUUCCCAGACCCAUCCUCCUAGUCUUCCUUCUUUUUGUUUGUUUUUGUUUUUGUUUUUUUUUUUUUAAAUUCUCCUUCCCUCCCGCCCCCCCACCUUUGGUUCUCACCCUGGCUGCGAGCAAAGCGUCUUCAUGAGCGCAGAGGAUGUCCGGAAAGCACUACAAGGGGCCUGAAGUCAGUUGUUGCAUCAAAUAUUUUAUCUUCGGCUUCAAUGUCAUUUUCUGGUUCCUUGGCAUAGCAUUUCUUGGGAUUGGAUUGUGGGCAUGGAAUGAAAAGGGAGUGCUGUCCAAUAUCUCCUCCAUCACUGACCUCGGAGGCUUUGAUCCUGUUUGGCUCUUCCUAGUGGUAGGAGGAGUUAUGUUCAUUUUGGGAUUUGCAGGAUGCAUUGGAGCUUUACGAGAGAACACUUUUCUUCUCAAAUUUUUCUCUGUAUUUCUUGGAAUUAUUUUCUUCUUGGAGCUCACUGCUGGUGUUCUAGCAUUUGUUUUCAAAGACUGGAUAAAGGACCAGCUGUAUUUCUUUAUAAACAACAACAUCAGAGCAUACCGAGAUGACAUUGAUUUACAAAACCUCAUAGACUUCACACAGGAAUAUUGGCAGUGCUGUGGGGCUUUUGGAGCCGAUGACUGGAACCUUAAUAUUUACUUCAAUUGUACAGAUUCCAACGCGAGUCGAGAGCGCUGUGGUGUGCCGUUCUCUUGCUGUACUAAAGACCCUGCUGUUUUUGGAAAGGAACUGUACAUAGUUCUAGAGACAUUCUCAGAAAGAGCUUGCAGCUUCUGCAACCGAACUGCCCCAUGUCACCUCUUCAUUCUGCACAGACUGAACCGUGAAAAUGGCAACAGAAGAUGUUAUUAAUACUCAGUGUGGCUAUGAUGCAAGGCAAAAACCAGAAGUUGAUCAGCAGAUUGUUAUCUACACUAAAGGCUGCGUCCCUCAGUUUGAGAAAUGGUUGCAGGACAACCUUACCAUAGUUGCUGGUAUAUUCAUUGGGAUAGCAUUACUGCAGAUAUUUGGGAUAUGCUUAGCCCAGAAUUUGGUUAGUGACAUUGAGGCUGUCAGAGCCAGCUGGUAAAACUGCUGAAGUAACCACAACAAGACACUGGACAACCGAAACCCUCUGAAACCUCCAGUGUGUCACUCCGACACCAAGCUGUAUGGACAUGGGUGACAGGGAAGCCUUCUCUCCUGAGCAGUCUCAAGUCUAAGUUCCUGAUAUUGCAGUGAACUUGUGUUUCUUUGGGGUGGGGGAGAGAAGAGUGGGCUAUUGAAAAUCUGCUGCUCACUGACAAUUUUUUCUUUUAAACCACCACUUUGAAAGCUGUUGAGCCGUGAAUCUCUACUGUAUUCUUGAUUUUGAGUAACAAGUGGACACUUUUUUAAAUUGGUGUGUUCAGUGAGACAGAGUUGCGUUGUUGUAGUCUGUGGAUAUGCUGUUUAUUCUUCAUGUCAUGAGCUCUUUGAUAGCUGCCAAAUAUUCCUGAGAUGGUCUAUCUCCUCACCACUCUGUAAAGGAACAAUCUUCUUGUUUUCACAGCUAAACAUAGCUACAGGCCUAAACCCAUGAAGCAGGAAGCAACUUUCUAUGCAUCUAUUGUACAGUAAAAGAAAUUGUUUUUAAAACAAGGGAAUUUUUUUUUAUGCAAGCUUCCAACUAUCUCCCUAUAGUACAUUGAGGUUGGAAUCAGCAGAAGGGAGAAUUGCUUAAUUUUGUCAAGAUCUUUUUUCCUUCUCCACCCUUGUGUGAAGGGAAAGGAGUUUUAUAUUUGACAAAAAGGGUUGCUGCCAUACCUUUGGAUAUCAGUCUCUUAAGGCAAGGAUGGGAUAUGACUGUAUAAAUGUAUGAAAGCAGUGUAGAUGUUGGGUCCAAGUGAAGAAUAAUAUUCAAAGAAUGAAUUAUAUAUUAACUUAAAAAAAGUCAAAACUUAUGUAUCUGAUAUGGCAAAAUCUUUUGUUUCUCUGAAAUUUAGUGUAACCUAAUGUAUUUAGGGAUCUCACUAAUAUUAAUGCUUUGACAUACUUGUGCGAAGCUUGUUUCUUUGGUCUGUUCCUAGUUGGGGCUUUGGUCUUUCUUUUUUUCCCUUUUUCUUUUCUUUAAUUCUUUUUACCUGCAUGAGCUGUGGAAUAAGAAUCUGUGACACUCCAGUGCUUUAAAUAUGUGCAUAUGUUUUAAUUCAGUCUAAUCCAAACUUAUUUAUUGAUAAAUGCAUGUGAUUAUGGAAAGAUCAUAUCCCAUUCUCUUGGAAGUUGGAGAGAACAGUUUUUGCCAGAGUAAAUGCUUACCUCCAGUGACCUAAUCCAUGCUAUGGAGAUGUGUCUCCCUUUCUUGCUCUAAAGGCAACAAGAGCUUUCUUGAAGCAACAGAGUAAAAGUCUUUAAAUAGAAGCAUUUAUUAGAUCAGUUAAGACAGACCCUUUUGAAUUGGACACAAGAAAGCAGAAUGUGGAAAAAAGCACAAACAGUAGAAGAAGACUUCAAUCAGGCUCCAUCCAGCUUAGCGCUUUUGAUUUGUUCUUCUUCACUAAUAAUAGAGAACCUAAAGACCUGACCAUGGCUUGGUUAAUUUAUUGCACUUUGUAUAAAUUUACCAUGUUUUAUGACCCUUCUCAGUAUCUCCAUACCAGUCCUGAAAGCUGUGGUCCUGCUUUGGUCAGACAGUGGCAAAGGGUGUGUAGCACCUUGGUAAGGACGUAACAUCUUUCUGAGCUGAGUUUCCUGAAACAGGAGGUAUAUGGAGUAGAGAAGAGGAACACAUUGCUUUCAAAGCUCUCCUAUUUUGGGGGAUGGAUAGAAGGCUGAUUUGAUGACUUGUCAAGGCCCUUUCUGGUCCUGUGACUCUUAAACAAAUGAACAUAUGUACCCUUGCACAUUAUGCCUUUCUGUGCUUUAGUUGGCUGUGGUUUUUCUCCCCUCUGGAGGCUGGUGAUGGGUACGCCAGUGCUUCACAGAUGCCUCAGACAGACCCGUUGUCCUCCCAUCUUUGAGCAUUACCUCAUCCUCUUCUGGUUAACUCCCACUGACUGGCUCUGAAUCAGGCAGCCUCCAUAUCCUUUGGUAUCUGCUGUUAAAGGCUAGCCAUGACUCAGAGUAUUUUUAAAGCCUUUCAAAGUAAUUAUAACUCAUUGUCCUUAAUAAAGUUGGUUCCACCUCAGCACAGUGUUAUGUUUUUCUUAGCCACUCCUUGACUUGAGGAGUUACUAGUUGUUUUCCCCUAGAGGGACAUACCGUUUUGCAUGAUAGUAGCAGGACAGACAGAUCAUCAGCACCAGUGUUGCUGCACUGAGACAAAAUGGUGCAGGGAGGAAUCAGGGGAGUGGGGUUGAGGAAAUAACCCCUCCACCAAAGAGCCUUGAUGGUGAUCCCAGGCUUUGGUUUGGAGGGAAAACAAAGAGCCUAAUUACAGAAACAUUCCUUGUUGCCGCUGAUCUUGAAUACUGCUGUUGCUGCUCUGAGCUUAUGAAGGUAGCUUCGUUCUUCUACUUGAAUCUCUGCAGUUGUACUGUAUUGGCCUUCUGUCUUGUCAUGCUGUUCUCUGAGUUCCAGUCUGCUGGCUGUGCUGUUGGCAGUGGCAGACUGAUAGGAGGGUAAAUGCUCCAAGCUGAGCAAUUCUUGUUCUCACGACUUGCACGUCUACACACAAAUGUGCAACACUUCUGAAUCCCGGAAUGACUGACUGUUCUUAAAAAAACCACUAAAUAACUUACUUUUCUAGAGCUUGUCUUUUUUGCUGCGGAUGUUGAUCCUUCUCCCUUUUUUUUUUUUUUUUUUUGUUCCCAAGAGAUACUUAUUUACUCAUUUUUGCAUUGUUUUGAUGGAUGUGCAAUGAAUGUUUAGGAUUAGCUGUCUGUUACACAUUUAAAUCCCACUUUUUUGUCUACAGAUCAGGUAAGAUGUCCUAGAAAUGUCCCAUCAACAUCUACUCAGCAGCUUAGGUGUCCAGUUUGGAAAGCUUGUGGGAGGCCUUGGAAAUCAAUGUAUUAUUGUCAGAGCCUGGCAAAUAUAAGCAAACUUUCUCCCAGGAAACUUAGAAAAGUUCACAUGAGCUGCAACUAAAGCACAACUGCUGGCUACAUGGGCUUAGUGUCUAAAGCAAUAAGAUGUGGUAGGCACUAGGAUUCCAUGGCAAUUUCUAGCCUGCCUGAUGUGGUGGUGGGGUAGAUGUGAGUUCAGAGAUCAGUCUAAUUAUCUUUAAUGUGCAGUAGUUGUUCAUAAAUUUGUUGUCAGGCUUAUGGAGUGGGAAACAGCUCUGUUUACUGAGUAGUGGCAUUACUAACGAGGACUCUGGUAGCUCAGCAGCAGCACUGGCUUUAAAGCUAUUUCCAUAUAUCCCAUUGGGCCCUGCCAGAGGGCAUCACAGUCCUUGCUCCUCUGCUUUCUAAAUACCCUCUGUAUUCACAGUCCUUUCUGUUGUUUGGGUUUGUUUUGUUUUGUUUUGUUUUUUUUUAAAAAUUUUUAUUAAUAGCCUAAUGGACAAAUGUUUGAUUAAUCUCUUUGUGUCUGUUUUGGUAGCAGUAGUAUCUCUAUGCUUAAAAUCCAUAAUUUUGAUUGUGCCCCUUAGAGUUUGAAGCUGUGGGGGUGCUUGCUCAAGUGUACUCUGUCCUGAAAGCCUUCUUCUCUCCCCUUUGAGAGAGAUGCUCAUUGUAGUUCUGGUGUGUAAAUAGUGUUUGAAAUGUAAAUAGUAGCAUGCAGAUUAAAUGAUUCUUGCACAUGACUGCUUUUCCCCCUGAAAGUGUUUAUUAUGGAGAUGAAAGGUGUCUGCCAGGAGAGUUUGCUGGUGAAUUCUGAGUGGCUGUCUGGGCUGUCCCUCGCCCUGAUGGAGCAGCAGGAGUGCGUCAGCUGCCCAUGCUCGCGUGUCUACCCAGUGAGUGGGUGGCUGCACCUGAGGAAGGUGAAGCCCUGGCCAUCCCUUUGGGCCCUUGUUAGUGGCAGGGCCUUCCUUGCCUUUUCCCUUUGCUGCUUGGCAUUAGAACAGCAUUAGACUCUAAAGUGGAGAGUAGGUGGCAGAACCUCCUACCAGUUAUGGGAGGUUGCCAUCACUUGUGGCAGGACUAAAUAUGGUGCUAUAAGAACUGACCUGGACAUCAAUCUGUGUUUUCAGUACUUUAGAGAUGCCCUUGUUAAAAUUGGUCUUGAUUAAUAUGGCUGGUUAUGAGAGAAACUAUUGGCUGAAUUUUUGAUUCUGUUUCCCUUUUUGUUGUGUAUGUAUUUUGGGUGCAUUGAAAUAGCAGUUUUGCAAAGGACUGUCCUUGGAAGGACAGUAGACCUCAAAAGGCGUCAUGCACUGCUGAAUGUCCCAGUUCCUAACAUUUUUGUUUUUUCUCUGCAUCUUUUUCAGAUACCUGUAACAGGUGAUGAAACUGUGUAAAACAAAUGAACCAAUACUACCCCGAUCCAUUAGCUACCAAAUUUGCCCCUUGAAAAAAAGAAAUAAAAGAAAUCUGUCACCCUUAACAUGCAGUAUACGAAGAAGUGUUGUACUACUAGCGUGCAAGAGGCAGCACUGCUAGCUGUCUUUUGUGUUUUGGCAAUUUAAGUGUGCUAAUAAAAAGCUCCAUCUAUAUGUGUGUUCAUGUUCAUGCUCUGUAUGUAAUAGAGAUGGACCUUGAGCUCUGGGGAGACUGGGAUGUGGGUUUGUGACUCAGAGCCAUUUCUGAUACUUAUAUUCCAGAUAAGUUCCAGCUGAGUCUUUCUCUCGUUCAUCUGAAGGUGUACAGCAAGGUGUCAAUAUUUACCCUUUGUGUAUCAUUCCUUUUUAUACGAAUGUAUUCUCUUGUGUUCCUUUUUUAUCAGUUGUAAAAUUGAUUGUAAAAGCCAACUACACUUACCGAUUGAAAGUAUUGCUAUAACAGAACUGCAUGCCCAGUAGAGUUUGACUUGAGCUUUAGUUUUCUGAUUUCAGACUGGUUCCCUUCAGUCUAGGAGAAAAGCAUAGAUGAGGUGCAUAAUGUAUUACUUGUCAUCUUUAGCGUUAGACUGUGGUAUUGUAUCACAUGCUGAUCUCAAUGGAUGUAACUGGAGUCUACUUAGGAAGUUAAUGCAACUUCCUGGUAAUUCAUUUUAAGCUAUUGAAAAUGGUCUUGGUCAUGCUACUUGUGUUCUUGGGUUUUUGUUUUUUAAUAGAGGCAUUUUUUAGGAAUGUUUUAAUACACUUAUGAUGGACAAUACAAUAGUUUUAAUAGUUGUGCAGUAUUCUGUAUUUACUUGAAGUAAAUCAUUUUAUAUGCAAUUUGUUAGAUAAUUACAAUUUUAUAAAUAAAAUUGUGUGAAAUA